Molecule: small nuclear RNA, 153 nt
Filed under: Moschus moschiferus (Siberian musk deer)
Lineage: Eukaryota; Metazoa; Chordata; Mammalia; Artiodactyla; Moschidae
Description: U2 spliceosomal RNA (ENSMMSG00000011345.1)
Rfam family: U2 spliceosomal RNA
About the family: U2 is a small nuclear RNA (snRNA) component of the spliceosome (involved in pre-mRNA splicing). Complementary binding between U2 snRNA (in an area lying towards the 5' end but 3' to hairpin I) and the branchpoint sequence (BPS) of the intron results the bulging out of an unpaired adenosine, on the BPS, which initiates a nucleophilic attack at the intronic 5' splice site, thus starting the first of two transesterification reactions that mediate splicing.
Source: Rfam by way of RNAcentral
AUCGCUUCUCGGCCUUUUGGCUAAGAUCAAGUAUAGUAUCUAAUAUCAAGCGACAAGGCUUGUGGAAUUUUCCGGAGCUGGCACUGAGGUCUACAUGGCCCCCUCCCGCUGGUCCCCGCGUCCCCCACCUCUGGGCGGUCGUCAUGAUGGCGU